This 459-nucleotide ribosomal RNA is filed under the name uncultured bacterium. Its description in RNAcentral is "partial 16S ribosomal RNA". It matches the Rfam family "Bacterial small subunit ribosomal RNA", at positions 338 to 795 of the family's 1533-position model. The record is from RNAcentral.
CCUACGGGUGGCAGCAGUGAGGAAUAUUGGUCAAUGGGCGAGAGCCUGAACCAGCCAAGUCGCGUGAGGGAAGACGGUCCUAUGGAUUGUAAACCUCUUUUGCCGGGGAGCAAAAAGCGGUACGUGUACCGCAUCGAGAGUACCCGGAGAAAAAGCAUCGGCUAACUCCGUGCCAGCAGCCGCGGUAAUACGGAGGAUGCGAGCGUUAUCCGGAUUUAUUGGGUUUAAAGGGUGCGUAGGCGGAAUAUCAAGUCAGCGGUAAAAAUUCGGGGCUCAACCCCGUCGUGCCGUUGAAACUGAUGUUCUUGAGUGGGCGAGAAGUAUGCGGAAUGCGUGGUGUAGCGGUGAAAUGCAUAGAUAUCACGCAGAACUCCGAUUGCGAAGGCAGCAUACCGGCGCCCAACUGACGCUGAAGCACGAAAGCGUGGGUAUCGAACAGGAUUAGAUACCCGAGUAGUC